CCUACGGGUGGCAGCAGUGGGGAAUAUUGCACAAUGGGGGAAACCCUGAUGCAGCGACGCCGCGUGAGUGAAGAAGUAAUUCGUUAUGUAAAGCUCUAUCAGCAGGGAAGAAAAUGACGGUACCUGAGUAAGAAGCCCCGGCUAACUACGUGCCAGCAACCGCGGUAAUACGUAGGGGGCAAGCGGUUUCCGGAUUUACUGGGUGGAAAGGGAGCGUAGACGGGAGUGCAAGUCUGGCGUGAAAGGCGGGGGCUCAACCCCCGGACUGCACUGGAAACUGUACGGCUGGAGUGCAGGAGAGGUAAGUGGAAUUCCUAGUGUAGCGGUGAAAUGCGUAGAUAUUAGGAGGAACACCAGUGGCGAAGGCGGCUUACUGGACUGUAACUGACGUUGAGGCUCGAAAGCGUGGGGAGCAAACAGGAUUAGAUACCCUUGUAGUC
This 440-nucleotide ribosomal RNA is filed under the name uncultured bacterium. RNAcentral's name for it is "partial 16S ribosomal RNA". It matches the Rfam family "Bacterial small subunit ribosomal RNA", at positions 338 to 795 of the family's 1533-position model. The record is from RNAcentral.